CUUCCUCGUUUGAGGUCCGAUCGCCGCACCGUUCGCGGCCACACGUCCAGCGCGUCGAGCUCUACAUUUCUAUCGGAUCAAUUUCACUGGUUCGAUUUAGCUUGCGGAGCUUACUGGUUUGAGUUGCUACGCGUGUGGGAGUGGUGAGAAUUAAGUCCAUAUAUAUGCAUUGGAAGUAAAAAGUGAGUGUUUGGAAGCUUAUUGGUGAUUGAGGCUUGGUUUUUGGCUUGUUUCUUUGAGCUUGGGGGGCUCUGUUCUUGCUUGUGAGGCUGCUUUGGAUUGAAUAAAGUGAUCGGCCAAGGUAUGCUUUAGGUUUCGCGCGUUUAACAUUUAAGGUGUUGUGAAAACUUA
Molecule: non-coding RNA, 351 nt
Organism: Arachis ipaensis
Lineage: Eukaryota; Viridiplantae; Streptophyta; Magnoliopsida; Fabales; Fabaceae
Source: RefSeq, a predicted model, not a curated record